UUCCCAUUGCUCUGUCAGGCCUAAGCUCACAGCUUCCUGGUUGGGUGUGCUGGGUGCUGCCUUUAUCCCACCAGAAUUCAAACUCUAAGUCAGCCCCAGUACUGGGGCACAGCUGCAGCCCCCUCCGGCCUGGCACCCCAACCCCGACUUCCACUCCCCUGGCGUUUCCACUGCUCUGCCCUGUGUGGCCAGAGGCAAAUUUGAAACAUCUCCUGUCCGGACGUUUUCCCUCCACAGGCCACUGGCAAGGAAGCUUGGGCUGCGGGAGCCACGGCCGGCCUGCUCCCUCUUCACCUGCCUGUCUUCUGCUCUGUCUGCCAGGCUCCUGCCGCUCCAGCGAGGUGGGGUCCUCCUGCCCUUAUGCGUGGUGCGGAGUCUGGGCUGAGUCUUCCUGAGGGCCGGGAGGGCCAGGCCAGCAGGGAGGGCACGCAGCCUCUGGCAAAAUUAAAAAAGGAAAGAGAACACCCAGCAGGCCGGUCUCUGGGGCAGUCAGGGGCAUACUGAACUGCUGUGCUGGAAGAUAACUGCAUGUGCACCCUCUCCACUAGGAGUAAGAUAAGUAAGCUUAAGGAAAAUGCCAAGGCACACCAUAGACUGAACGAAAUAUCUCCAAUGCUCACACCUGACAGAAGACUUAACCAGCACAUAGAAAAAAACUUCCAGUCCAGGAAGGAGAGAAAAGGCCACUAAAAUAUGGACAGAAGCCUCCUCCGAGAAGAUAAUGUGAGUGGCCACUAAACAACGAGGAGGUGCUCGCCCUCUGUGAUCACUGGGGAAGCAGACAUUAAGGCUAGGAUGGAGCGCCUCCGCACACCACAUCGCCCCGGUGAGACGGGCCGCUGGUGCGUGGGUACAGACCGUCCGGGACAUGCAUACUCCGGAAGGGAUGUGAAAUGCUGAAGCCAAUUAGAAAAAUAGUUCAGAAAUGAUAGAGACCACCCUCUUCUCUGCACAAACUUUUCCCUUCUGCCAUUUCAUGAAGGGACUUUGGACUUUCCAGCCCAGAACGGGUCUUGCUAUGUUGCCCAAGCUGGCCUCAAACUCGAGACUCUCCUGCCUCAGCCUCCAGAGUCCUGGGAGGACAGAACAAAAGGCUGCAAUACCGCGCACUUCCCUGGCCGGACCCACCUGCUGGUCAGCAUCUUGUCCUUCAACAGAGAGGGACGUGCUCCAGUUUCCUCCAGUUCCUGCGUCUCCACCAUAUCCCUGGGAAGAGUUGCAGUGUUCAGAAAAAAAAAAAAAAAAAGAAAGAAAGAAAGAAACAGCUCAACAGCACAGGCAGGAACUUUGAAACAAGAGAACGAGUUUGGGUGUGGUUGACGAACUGCCCCAGAUAAAUGUAAGACACGUAACUACAAAUGAUGGUACAUGGCCAGGAUUUCUUUCCCAUACAUGACCUAAUUAUAAAGUUUCUAAAAUUGUUUAUUAGAUGUGCUUUUGCCUCAGAGACAGAAUGAGAGAGAGGGAGAAGGCACCCCUACGAGGAGGUGGUCACGCCGUAAUCCCCUCUUCAUUUCCCCAGACCGUUGGCAUUUGGGACAUGCAUGUACACGGGCCUGACGUUUUUCAGACUUCGGGAACCAGGAUUCAAAUUGUAUUUGGCCACAGGGGACCCAGCUUCCUUCACCACUAAGCUAUGGAACCACCCUCUUCUUUUCAUUUUUUAAUGAUUUCUUUUCUGACAAUCAAUAUACAGAAUUAUAAAUCAAUAUUAAAUAGAAUAUC
This is a long non-coding RNA of Tupaia belangeri chinensis (Chinese tree shrew), 1725 nucleotides long. RefSeq lists it as uncharacterized. The record is from RefSeq and is a predicted model, not a curated record. The transcript has 3 exons. Lineage: Eukaryota; Metazoa; Chordata; Mammalia; Scandentia; Tupaiidae.